This 217-nucleotide unclassified non-coding RNA is filed under the name Hevea brasiliensis (rubber tree). Lineage: Eukaryota; Viridiplantae; Streptophyta; Magnoliopsida; Malpighiales; Euphorbiaceae. The record is from RNAcentral.
AUGAAGUCAGUUAGCUAAAAUUGCUCUUGCUUUGUACAUUUACUAUAAACUUUAAAUUGUUUGUAUAGCAAUUCUUAUUAACUGAAUUUGAUAUUGCCUUCCUGUGCAGAGCUCACUAGUUUAAGAUCCUAGUUAUGCCAUUUUAAGUGUCCUUAGUGAACCAAAAAAUAAAAUAGAUAUUGGCAUUUUACUGCACAAUAGAAAUAGGGACUACAAG